AUUGAACGCUGGCGGCAGGCCUAACACAUGCAAGUCGAGCGGAUGACGGGAGCUUGCUCCUUGAUUCAGCGGCGGACGGGUGAGUAAUGCCUAGGAAUCUGCCUGGUAGUGGGGGACAACGUUUCGAAAGGAACGCUAAUACCGCAUACGUCCUACGGGAGAAAGCAGGGGACCUUCGGGCCUUGCGCUAUCAGAUGAGCCUAGGUCGGAUUAGCUAGUAGGUGAGGUAAUGGCUCACCUAGGCGACGAUCCGUAACUGGUCUGAGAGGAUGAUCAGUCACACUGGAACUGAGACACGGUCCAGACUCCUACGGGAGGCAGCAGUGGGGAAUAUUGGACAAUGGGCGAAAGCCUGAUCCAGCCAUGCCGCGUGUGUGAAGAAGGUCUUCGGAUUGUAAAGCACUUUAAGUUGGGAGGAAGGGCAGUAAGUUAAUACCUUGCUGUUUUGACGUUACCGACAGAAUAAGCACCGGCUAACUCUGUGCCAGCAGCCGCCGCCG
RNAcentral lists this ribosomal RNA (500 nucleotides) under uncultured bacterium. Its description in RNAcentral is "partial 16S ribosomal RNA". It matches the Rfam family "Bacterial small subunit ribosomal RNA", at positions 30 to 523 of the family's 1533-position model. The record is from RNAcentral.